Molecule: ribosomal RNA, 446 nt
Filed under: uncultured bacterium
Lineage: Bacteria
Description: bacterial SSU rRNA
Rfam family: Bacterial small subunit ribosomal RNA
Source: RNAcentral
UCGAGGAUCUUCGGCAAUGGGCGCAAGCCUGACCGAGCGACGCCGCGUGCGGGAUGAAGGCCUUCGGGUUGUAAACCGCUGUCAGAGGGGAUGAAAUGCGCGGGGGUUCUCCCCCACGCUUGACUGAUCCUCAGAGGAAGUACGGGCUAAGUUCGUGCCAGCAGCCGCGGUAAGACGAACCGUACAAACGUUAUUCGGAAUCACUGGGCUUAAAGGGUGCGUAGGCGGUGCGGUAAGUUGGGUGUGAAAUCCCUCGGCUCAACCGAGGAACUGCGCCCAAGACUGCCGUGCUCGAGGGAGACAGAGGUGAGCGGAACUUCGGGUGGAGCGGUGAAAUGCGUUGAUAUCCGAAGGAACACCGGUGGCGAAAGCGGCUCACUGGGUCUCUACUGACGCUGAGGCACGAAAGCUAGGGGAGCGAACGGGAUUAGAUACCCCUGUAGUCC